RNAcentral lists this microRNA precursor (108 nucleotides) under Microtus ochrogaster (prairie vole). RNAcentral describes it as "miRNA (ENSMOCG00000010118.1)". Lineage: Eukaryota; Metazoa; Chordata; Mammalia; Rodentia; Cricetidae. The record is from RNAcentral.
GUGGUAUUGCUGGGUCUUAAGGUAGGUUGUUUCCUAAUUUUCUGAGAAAUCGCCAACUGCUGGAGAGAUGGCUCAGCUGUUAAAGGCUAGGCUCACAACCAAAAAACA